CAUACCAUGAAUAUACCGGUUCUCGUUAGAUCACCGAAGUCAAGCAGCAUUGGGCGCGGUCAGUACUUGGGUGGUGACCACUUGGGAACACCGCGUGCCGUUA
Molecule: ribosomal RNA, 103 nt
Filed under: Caerostris darwini
Lineage: Eukaryota; Metazoa; Arthropoda; Arachnida; Araneae; Araneidae
Source: RNAcentral